Molecule: ribosomal RNA, 253 nt
Filed under: uncultured bacterium
Lineage: Bacteria
Description: partial 16S ribosomal RNA
Rfam family: Bacterial small subunit ribosomal RNA
Source: RNAcentral
UACAGGGGGUGCAAACGUUGCUCGGAAUCAUUGGGCGUAAAGCGCACGUAGGCGGCUUUGUAAGUCGGAUGUGAAAUCCCUCGGCUUAACCAAGGAAGUGCAUCCGAAACUACAGAGCUUGAGUACUUAAGAGGAUCGCGGAAUUCCCGGUGUAGAGGUGAAAUUCGUAGAUAUCGGGAGGAACACCGAUGGCGAAGGCAGCCCCCUGGGUUAACACUGACGCUCAGGCACGAAAGCGUGGGGAGCAAACAGG